UACUAAGGUGACAGAAUAAAACUGUCAUAAACAUUACUAAGCAUCACAGUGUGUAUAUUAAAAUUCAGAUGAAUUAAAUUUCUAUAACAUUUUCUAAUAAAUUACAUUUUUCACUUAUAAUGAAUAAAUAAAAAUACAAAUCUUACCCCCAAAUUGUCAUGGUACAAUAGCAAGUAAAGGAAUUGAACUGGGGAGACAAAUGCUAUAGUUCCAUUUAACCAUUAACUUGCCCUGCUAUAGUAGAGUUUAGGUUUUGCUUUGAGAAGACAUAAACACAUGUCCACACAGUCAUAGUAGUAGUAGUAGUAUUAGGAUAGUUAAGAGUAUAGACUUUAGAAUGGAAGAAAAAUAAAUUUUAAUCUACACUCUGACACGUAAUCUUGGGCAAAUUAGCCAAGAUUUAGUUUAGUUACCUAUCUAUAAAUGAGAAUAAUAAUGCCAUGUUAAUAGGAUUAUCAUGGGAUUAAAUUUUAAGAUGCAAGUAAAGAAUAUGACAUAGAACCAGAUACAUAGUAAGUAAUCAAUAAUAAUGUUAGGGGAGAACCAAGAUGGC
Long non-coding RNA from Myotis brandtii (Brandt's bat), 553 nucleotides. RefSeq lists it as uncharacterized. NCBI's taxonomy places the organism in Eukaryota, Metazoa, Chordata, Mammalia, Chiroptera, Vespertilionidae. The record is from RefSeq and is a predicted model, not a curated record. The transcript has 3 exons.